GGUUAAGCGACUAAGCGUACACGGUGGAUGCCUAGGCAAUCAGAGGCGAUGAAGGACGUGCUAAUCUGCGAUAAGCGUCGGUAAGGUGAUAUGAACCGUUAUACCCGACGAUAUCCGAAUGGGGAAACCCAGUAUCCAAUGGAUACUAUCAUUAACUGAAUCCAUAGGUUAAUGAGGCGAACCGGGAGAACUGAAACAUCUCAGUACCCCGAGGAAAAGAAAUCAACCGAGAUUCCCCUAGUAGCGGCGAGCGAACGGGGAGCAGCCCAGAGUCUUAAUCAAUAGCAGUGUCAGGAGAACGGUCUGGAAAGUCCGGCAGUAAAGGGUGAUAGCCCCGUAUCUGAAGAUGCUGUUAUUGUGAACUCGACGAGUAGGGCGGGACACGUGUUAUCCUGUCUGAAUAUGGGGGGACCAUCCUCCAAGGCUAAAUACUCCUGAUUGACCGAUAGUGAACCAGUACCGUGAGGGAAAGGCGAAAAGAACCCCGGCGAGGGGAGUGAAAAAGAACCUGAAACCGUGUACGUACAAGCAGUAGGAGCCUCUUUAUGGGGUGACUGCGUACCUUUUGUAUAAUGGGUCAGCGACUUAUAUUCUGUAGCAAGGUUAACCGUAUAGGGGAGCCGUAGGGAAACCGAGUCUUAACUGGGCGAAUGAGUUGCAGGGUAUAGACCCGAAACCCGGUGAUCUAGCCAUGGGCAGGUUGAAGGUUGGGUAACACUAACUGGAGGACCGAACCGACUAAUGUUGAAAAAUUAGCGGAUGACUUGUGGCUGGGGGUGA
This 780-nucleotide ribosomal RNA is filed under the name Escherichia coli. RNAcentral's name for it is "partial 23S ribosomal RNA". It matches the Rfam family "Bacterial large subunit ribosomal RNA", at positions 1 to 824 of the family's 2925-position model. Lineage: Bacteria; Pseudomonadati; Pseudomonadota; Gammaproteobacteria; Enterobacterales; Enterobacteriaceae. The record is from RNAcentral.